GGAAUAUUGUUGUGCAUAACAGGUACAUUUAUAACAUGUGCAUUUGCAGAAUUGAAAUGCCUUGGAUGUUUUGUGACUAUGAAUUUCAAGUUCGGCCUGAUAUGUGUUUGCUAUGUUUCUCUAAGCCAAUACAAUCUACCGGUACAGUUUGCCAUCCAGGACUCAGUGUCAAUGGAUUAUAUUGUAGGAAACAGACGUUUGGAUCAUAUUUUAUUUAACUACCUGAGAAUGCCAAUAUUAUGCAUGAUUUGUAUGCAGGUUCAGAGGCAAUGUUUGCUG
RNAcentral lists this unclassified non-coding RNA (279 nucleotides) under Hevea brasiliensis (rubber tree). Lineage: Eukaryota; Viridiplantae; Streptophyta; Magnoliopsida; Malpighiales; Euphorbiaceae. The record is from RNAcentral.